GAUGAAGAACGUAGCGAAAUGCGAUACUUGGUGUGAAUUGCUGAAUCCCGUGAACCAUCGAGUCUUUGAACGCAAGUUGCGCCUCAAGCCAUUAGGUUGAGGGCACGUCUGCCUGGGCGUCACAUAUCGUUGCCUGAUGCCAGUUUCCUCGUGAUGGGUGACUGUGCAGGGCGAAUGAUGGCUUCCCGUGAGCAUUGUUGCCUCAUGGUUGGUUGAAAAUUGAGUCCUUGGUAGGGAGCGCCGUGAUAGAUGGUGGUUGAGUGACGAACGAGACCCAAUCAUGUGAGACCCCUACCGAAUUUGGCCUUCAUGACCCACAUGCGUCUUUGGAACGCUCAUGACGAGACCUCAGGUCAGGCGGGGCUACCCGCUGAGUUUAAGCAUAUCAAUAAGCGGAGGA
Molecule: unclassified non-coding RNA, 400 nt
Filed under: soil metagenome
Description: partial contains 5.8S ribosomal RNA, internal transcribed spacer 2, and large subunit ribosomal RNA
Rfam family: 5.8S ribosomal RNA (bases 1-122)
Source: RNAcentral